This 230-nucleotide ribosomal RNA is filed under the name uncultured bacterium. RNAcentral's name for it is "partial 16S ribosomal RNA". It matches the Rfam family "Bacterial small subunit ribosomal RNA", at positions 15 to 244 of the family's 1533-position model. The record is from RNAcentral.
GAUCCUGCUCAGAUUGAACGCUGGCGGCAUGCUUUACACAUGCAAGUCGAACGGCAGCAUAGAGAGCUUGCUCUCUGAUGGCGAGUGGCGAACGGGUGAGUAAUACAUCGGAACGUGUCCUGUUGUGGGGGAUAACUACUCGAAAGAGUAGCUAAUACCGCAUAAGACCUAAGGGUGAAAGCGGGGGACCUUCGGGCCUCGCGCAGUUGGAGCGGCCGAUGACUGAUUAG